RNAcentral lists this long non-coding RNA (1325 nucleotides) under Homo sapiens (human). RNAcentral's name for it is "HSALNT0395301". Lineage: Eukaryota; Metazoa; Chordata; Mammalia; Primates; Hominidae. The record is from RNAcentral.
UAUGCUAGUUGCAACAACACAGAACCAAAAACUUACUACCCGAUUAUUAUGUGUAGAUGAGGCUGCAUAGAGAAUCAGGGAGGAUGGCAGGGAAAACUAACACACACAAAUGCAUCGCUUUCCUACAGGCACGUAACACAACAUAUGGCCAAAAGACCUCCCUACACAAUAUCAUUAGAAUCUUAAAAUACUUAAGAAACGUAAAAAGUGUACUGAAUCCAUAGUAACCAAACAUCGCUGAUGUUUUCACAUUCCGUGUUCUCAUAAAGAUUCAACAUUAUAAACAUGAUCAGUUCUCCCCUGAAUCUAAAUAUUUAGAACAAUAAAAAUACCAGCCUAUAAUUAACUAUAUAAAAUUCUAAAUUUCACAUUAUGAUAAGCCAGAAAAAGAAAAUAAGAACAUACAAACAUUUGCUUCUCAUUACAAAGAGAGACACAGCAGAGACACACUAGAAGAGCAGGAAGGCAGCCCGGGAAAGGCCGAGACAUGGCUUAGGAGGUUCAGGAAGACAAGACUGCAAUGCCUCAGACAAUCCUCAAUUUUUACAAAGAGCUUCUAUAAACCCACCCAGGUAAAGUGCUUUUAACUUAAAAGUAUUUUCAAAUAAGACUAUAUAUGACAAAUAACAUAUCACAGAAUAAUCACAAAACUUGUCAAAAAUGCCGUAAAAUAAAGAUGCCCUAAAUCUCUACAAUUUUUAAAAAUAAAUAUACUUCAAGUGUUAUAAUUUGGACAUAAAUACGUAAUAUACUUUGCUAUGUGAAGACCAGAAAUAUGUUACACACAGCUAUUUGUAUCAAAUUUGAUCCAAAAAUAUUAGACUUCAGAAACUUGGGAGUAGAGUACAGGGUAAGCUGAAGAACCAAGUAGCUCAAGAAAGCCCCUUGUUCUCAAGAGUUUGUGUGAUAAACACAGGCACUUGAAAUGUUCUAUAGACCUUGAAAUCUUUGUUUUGAGAAAACAGCCUGCAGUUCCCAUUUCUGCCAAAAGUCUCCUGGCUGAAAGUUGAAUCUGCCUUGUAGCAAGGACCUGGAGAUUCCAAAAGACAGGAGAACCUUGAGAAAAGGCAAAUUCCGGCUUCAAGAAAUACAAUGCAAUUCAAAAGACUGCAACUUCAUACAUAAAAAGUGAGUCUACUAAGAAAAAGAUAUGCAUAAUUUUUAUUCUAUUUAUUCUUAACUAUAUUCACAUCCUGUUCAAAGACCAUACUUCCAAAAUUUCUACACUAAAACUAACAGCAAAUGUUUUAUGACUUCCCAGGCCCAAAUCAAAUGAUUGCUGGGGCCGGGCGGAGGGGCUCACGCCUGUAGUCCCAGCACUUUGG